AUUGAACGCUGGCGGCAUGCCUUACACAUGCAAGUCGAACGGCAGCGGGGGAGAAGCUUGCUUUUCCUGCCGGCGAGUGGCGAACGGGUGAGUCAUACAUCGGAACGUGCCCUGUAGUGGGGAAUAACUAGUCGAAAGAUUAGCUAAUACCGCAUACGACCUGAGGGUGAAAGUGGGGGACCGCAAGGCCUCAUGCUAUAGGAGCGGCCGAUGUCUGAUUAGCUAGCUGGUGGGGUAAAGGCCUACCAAGGCGACGAUCAGUAGCUGGUCUGAGAGGACGAUCAGCCGCACUGGGAGUGUGACUCGGCCCAGACUCCUACGGGAGGCAGCAAUUGGGAAUUUUGGACAAUGGGCGAAAGCCUGAUCCAGCAAUGCCGCGUGUGUGAAGCAGGCCUUCGGGUUGUAAAGCCCUUUUGUCCGGAAAGAAAUGGCUCUGGUUAAUACCUGGGGUCGAUGACGGUACCGGAAGAAUAAGGACCGGCUAACUACGUGCCAGCCGCCGCGGUAA
This 508-nucleotide ribosomal RNA is filed under the name uncultured bacterium. RNAcentral describes it as "partial 16S ribosomal RNA". It matches the Rfam family "Bacterial small subunit ribosomal RNA", at positions 30 to 523 of the family's 1533-position model. The record is from RNAcentral.